AGAGUUUGAUCCUGGCUCAGGAUGAACGCUGGCGGCGUGCCUAACACAUGCAAGUCGAACGGGCGCGGCGUGCGGCAGGGGCCUCGGCCCCUGCGGCGUCGCGCGAGUGGCGGACGGGUGAGUAACGCGUGGGCAACCUGCCCUGUACUGGGGGAUAACACCUGGAAACAGGUGCUAAUACCGCAUAAGCGCGCAGUGCCGCAUGGCACGGCGCGGAAAACCCCGGUGGUACAGGAUGGGCCCGCGUCUGAUUAGCUGGUUGGCAGGGUAACGGCCUACCAAGGCGACGAUCAGUAGCCGGCCUGAGAGGGUGGACGGCCACACUGGGACUGAGACACGGCCCAGACUCCUACGGGAGGCAGCAGUGGGGGAUAUUGCACAAUGGGGGGAACCCUGAUGCAGCGACGCCGCGUGGGUGAAGGAGCGUUUCGGCGCGUAAAGCCCUAUCGGCAGGGAAGAAGAUGACGGUACCUGACCAAGAAGCCCCGGCUAACUACGUGCCAGCAGCCGCGGUAAUACGUAGGGGGCAAGCGUUAUCCGGAUUUACUGGGUGUAAAGGGGGCGCAGACGGCAAUGCAAGCCAGGAGUGAAAGCCCGGGGCCCAACCCCGGGACUGCUCUUGGAACUGCAUGGCUGGAGUACAGGAGGGGCAGGCGGAAUUCCUAGUGUAGCGGUGAAAUGC
This 682-nucleotide ribosomal RNA is filed under the name uncultured bacterium. Its description in RNAcentral is "bacterial SSU rRNA". It matches the Rfam family "Bacterial small subunit ribosomal RNA", at positions 8 to 689 of the family's 1533-position model. The record is from RNAcentral.